CCUACGGGAGGCAGCAGUGGGGAAUAUUGGACAAUGGGGGAAACCCUGAUCCAGCAAUACCGCGUGUGUGAAGAAGGCCUGCGGGUUGUAAAGCACUUUCAGUGGGAAAGAAAAACUGAUGGUUAAUACCCAUCGGCUUUGACGUUACUCACAAAAGAAGCACCGGCUAACUCCGUGCCAGCAGCCGCGGUAAUACGGAGGGUGCAAGCGUUAAUCGGAAUUACUGGGCGUAAAGCGCACGUAGGCGGCGCCGUCAGUCCGAUGUGAAAGCCCUGGGCUUAACCUGGGAACUGCAUUGGAUACUGCGGCGCUAGAAUGUGAAAGAGGGGAGUGGAAUUCCAGGUGUAGCGGUGAAAUGCGUAGAGAUCUGGAGGAACACCAGUGGCGAAGGCGGCUCCCUGGUUCAACAUUGACGCUGAGGUGCGAAAGCGUGGGUAGCAAACAGGAUUAGAUACCCCUGUAGUC
This 465-nucleotide ribosomal RNA is filed under the name uncultured Chromatium sp. Its description in RNAcentral is "bacterial SSU rRNA". It matches the Rfam family "Bacterial small subunit ribosomal RNA", at positions 338 to 795 of the family's 1533-position model. Lineage: Bacteria; Pseudomonadati; Pseudomonadota; Gammaproteobacteria; Chromatiales; Chromatiaceae. The record is from RNAcentral.